CCUACGGGUGGCAGCAGUGAGGAAUAUUGGUCAAUGGCCGGAAGGCUGAACCAGCCAAGCCGCGUGAGGGAGGAAGGCGCAGAGCGUCGCAGACCUCUUUUGCCGGGGGACAAAAGGCCGGACUCGUCCGGUCCUGAGGGUACCCGGAGAAAAAGCAUCGGCUAACUCCGUGCCGGCAGCCGCGGUAAUACGGAGGAUGCGAGCGUUAUCCGGAGUCAUUGGGUUUUAAGGGUGCGCAGGCGGGCCUUUAAGCCGGGGGUGAAAUCGCGGGGCUGAACCCCGCCGAGGCGUCGGAACUGGGGGCCUUGAGUGCGGCGGAGGCAUGCGGAAUGCGCGGUGGAGCGGUGAAAUGCAUAGAUAUCACGCAGAACUCCGAUUGCGAAGGCAGCAUACCGGCGCUCGACUGACGCUGAUGCACGAGAGUGUGGGUAGCGAACAGGAUUAGAUACCCCUGUAGUC
Molecule: ribosomal RNA, 459 nt
Filed under: uncultured bacterium
Lineage: Bacteria
Description: partial 16S ribosomal RNA
Rfam family: Bacterial small subunit ribosomal RNA
Source: RNAcentral